This 894-nucleotide ribosomal RNA is filed under the name uncultured archaeon. Its description in RNAcentral is "bacterial SSU rRNA". It matches the Rfam family "Archaeal small subunit ribosomal RNA", at positions 13 to 884 of the family's 1478-position model. The record is from RNAcentral.
CCCGCCGGACCCUACUGCUAUCGGGGUGGGACUAAGACAUGCGAGUCGAGCGUCUCUAGUUAUGGUGAGACGCGGCAGACGGCUCAGUAACACGUGGCUAACCUACCCUCAGGACAGGGACAAACCCGGGAAACUGGGGCUAAUACCCGAUAGGCGAGGGCGCCUGGAAUGGUUCUUCACCCAAAGGGCUUUGGAAGCAUACUUUUCAUUGUCGCCUGGGGAUGGGGCCGCGUCCGAUCAGGUUGUUGGUGAGGUAACGGCUUACCAAGCCUAUAACCGGUACGGGCCGUGAGAGCGGUAGCCCGGAGGUGGGCACUGAGACAAGGGCCCAGGCCCUACGGGGCGCAGCAGUCGCGAAAACUCCGCAAUGCACGAAAGUGUGACGGGGCUACCCCGAGUGCCGUCCGCUGAGGAUGGCUUUUCCCCGGUGUAACUAGCCGGGGGAAUAAGGAGAGGGCAAGACUGGUGUCAGCCGCCGCGGUAAUACCAGCUCUCCGAGUGGUAGGGAUGAUUAUUGGGCUUAAAGCGUCCGUAGCCAGCUUAGCAAGUCUCCUGUUAAAUUCAGCGACCUAAUCGUUGAGCCGCGGGAGAUACUACUAGGCUAGGAGGCGGGAGAGGCCGACGGUACUUCCGGGGUAGGGGUGAAAUCCUAUAAUCCCGGGAGGACCACCAGUGGCGAAGGCUGUCGGCUAGAACGCGCUCGACGGUGAGGGACGAAAGCUGGGGGAGCGAACCGGAUUAGAUACCCGGGUAGUCCCAGCUGUAAACGAUGCGAGCUAGGUGUUGGGGUGGCUACGAGCCACUUCAGUGCCGCAGGGAAGCCAUUAAGCCCGCCGCCUGGGGAGUACGAUCGCAAGAUUGAAACUUAAAGGAAUUGGCGGGGGAGCACCACAA